AAGCAAUCGACCCCUCAUUUGACUCCUAUAUCCUUCUGAGAGGGAGUAAUACUUGAAUGAAGUUAUAAUUUACAAAUAAUCACCUUUCAGUAAGAUGUGUCUGAGUAAACAGAGGAGUUGGAGGAUGUGAAAUACCCAAACAGAAGUGGCGGUUCAGCUUUUACAGCCUUCAGUGAAUAGAGUCUUUCCAACCGUACUAUAUUCUGAACAACCGGAGACUCUGGUGACCCCGCUGGUAUCGUGAACUGUCUAACUCAAUGCUCCAUCACUUGCCUCCUCUCUCAGAACCAUCACAAGCAGAGCUGAUCUGGAAUUGCUGUCUAGUCUAAUUUCUUUGCAGAUCUCUCCUAGGCAAGUACUUGUUUGAACUACCCUCCUCUAUUUUUACUUCCAUGGUAAGUCGGCCUUCCUUCUGCCCUGUUUUUCAACAGUUAUAAAGAAAGCAAGUAAAUUCUUUGUUUUGCAAUCUGUCCCAGUCAUUAGAUAACGUCACACUAUAACCUUGAGGUUUAACCAUGGGAUGAAGAAAGACUGUGAAGACAAAAUGCAGCCGAGUUCUCACACUGAGGGAAAGUUGACGGGUAGAUGGGCUAUCUGAAAAGCCAGAACGCAAGGCUAGUUUGUAAAGAUCGUAGCCAGGUCUUUAACUGGUUCUUUCAGAGUCAGCUGAUGGUUGGUUGGUUGGUUGGGAAGCUUCUCAGGUACACUGGGCUCUAGGAGGAACUCCGGGACUUGGCUGGCUAAGCUGGUGGGAUCAGAAGUACUCCCCCCGGAGGAAAUGAGGAGCUCCUUCGGUGCCUCCUUGCUUCUGUGGAUGGAACGAGGGAACAGGGGCACCUGAAUGAAAUAGAAAAAAAGGGAAGCAUUUAUCAUUUCUAUUUUUUAAGAUUAUUUAUUUAUUUAUUUAUUUAUUCAUUUAUUUAUUCAUUUAUUUAUUUAUGUGAGUCCACUAUAGCUGUCUUCAGACACACCAGGAGAGGGCAUCAGAUCCCAUUACAGAUGGUUGUGAGCCACCAUGUGGUUGCUGGGAGUUGAACCCAGGACCUCUGGAAGGGCCGUCAGUGUUCUUAACCACUGAGCCAUCUCUCCAGCCUGCAUUUAUCGUCUCUAAUGGCUGAGAAUUGGUCACAUAACUCUGAUACUGCUCUGUGUCCAUGGUGCGUAUUGCCUACAUUUCCCUCGUGUUUUGUCUUGUCUUGUGUUUUUGUUUGCUCUCUUUCUUUCUGGAGAUGACCUAAUGAGCCUAAGUUCUUAAUUUUAGAGUAGUCAAUUUUAUCAACCUUCUCAAAAUUAGCACGUUAUAUUUUUAAUUUUAAAACUCUUCUCUGUUUUCUUUCAAAAGUUUUCAAGUUUACCUUCUGACUCUUAAGUUCUUAAUCCAGGUAUAGUCGGUGCUGGUAACCCACAUAUUCUCCCUGGCUCAGCUUGGUUUAUAAUUUCCCUUUUAGCCAGUGAUCUUCCUCCUGAUACAAACUCACAGCUACCCCAAUCCAUCACAGAUUCCCUGUUCUUUUCCACUGGCAAAUUUAAAAAAAGUAACAUUCCAGACCAUCUACCGUCACUCGUAAGUGAUAUUGCUCUUUAUAAUAGCUUUGAAAUUUAGUAUUAUAACAUGUCCAAUAUUAAUUUAGACAGUUUGGUUAUCAUAAAUGGUUAGAUAGAUGAAUGAGUAAGCUUUGAGUGGACCUGAGGUGAACCAGGAUUACGAACCUGAGGUCUGAAGGUUGCAAAGGAUGGGGAAUACAAGGGCUACUAUUGAGUAUAAAUUAGGUUUUUGAAAAUCCAAGUUUUUACUUGUUUUUUCCCCCAAAAUCGUGAUUUCAUUGGUUUGUUCUAAUAAUGAUGUUUAAAGCUUGGUGUGAUAGCCCAUACAUAAAAUCCCAGCACAUAGGCGUUAUGCGAUGAUGUUGAGGAAAAGAAAGUAAAAAAUGAAUAAAUAAAUAAAUUUAUAUCAACCUAAUAAAAAUGAGACAGUUCAUGUGUUGGUUCAAAUAAAUCACAAUUUUGAGGAAAGUUUGUUAACCAUUUUUUACCUUGUUUGAGGGUAAAUAGUAUCUAUACUUUAUAUAACAUGUAGCAUAGUAUUAUUGUGUGGUAUAUAUUUGCAUGGUAUAUUUACACAACUUACAUAGUAUAUUGCUGUUAAAAUUAGUAGCAUCUACCCAUUAGAUAAUUGAGGGACUAACAUACAGCUAAGUGGUAGAGACUAUCAUAGAGGAAUCAUAUAUUUUUGAAUCCUUAGUUCAAACAAAUUUUAUUAGGAAGUUAUUACUGUGUGCUUGCGAAUGCAGAUGUGCGAGGGACUGCCUGUUCCAUGGGCACAUGCGUGGAGGCUGCAGGGUGACUUUGUAGAAUUAUUUCUCUACUUUCACCUUUACGUAGGCCCUAGGGAUUGGAUUCAGGUCACCCUGGCAAAAGCUUUUCUCUACUGAGCCAUCUUGUCAGCCUCCAAAUGGUUUUAUAGACCGAAAUUCUUCAAGUGGGGAUAAAAAAAGGUUUGCAUUUAUGAUCUCAUAUAGUUAAUCAAAGUAUGCAGCUUCUGUGCUGUGAUGCAAGUAGAGCAAAGUAAAUGACACAUCGACAAUCCAGCGGGGGACACACGCGCACUGUGCUAGAGCUCAGGAAGAGCUACGCAGGGAGAUGCAUGAGCCAAGACACACAGCCCGUGAUGUUCUAGCUUUCAUUCAAGCUAAGAAUUCAAAGGAACCCAAGAGAAAGCUGUCAGAGCACUCAGAGUAGUAAGUGUGAAUUAACUCACUGCAAAAUGUGGGCAUUGGUGUUGAGCGAAUGUGGGCAGAAUACCAGAUGCCCCUGACGACAGUGAGAGGUACCGGUCUUCCAGCAAACCGUCUCAUACUGUUGGAAGUCAUCGUCAUAGCGUCUUACGAGUGUUCAGACUGCCAUCGCAGUUCAUUGGGGAAUCAUGACCAAGACUGCUUUAAAUGGAUAGUAUUGUACAUACAUACAUACAUACAUACAUACAUACAUACAUACAUACAUACAUACAUUAUAUAUACACACUGUGUGUAGAUAUUUCUUUAAUUUUAUCCAUAAAUUACAGAUUUAUUAGAGACCUGGUUGGCUGUAUUUUUAUGAAUCUUCAUGGCAUAGAAAAUGGAGUACAAGGCAUAUACUCUCUAUAAGAAAUAAGUAUCAGUCUGUUAAACUUCUGCUUCAGUUACACACAGGUUUUUCUCUAUAUAGGUGUGUAUUGGCUGUAAUAUAAACCAUAUUUCUUACUGGAGUAAACAGAAGAGUCUGCAGAUAGCUGCAAAGACCAGUACAUGACCAACUUUGUUCUGUCCCAAGGCUGGGCAGCACUUGCUUCUUCCACAGAUUUAUACUUUGUUGCCCAUCUCUUGGGUUUGCCAGCAGGCAGCAAUCUUUUUAAAAAAUAAUCUCUCUUCUUAUAGCUGUUCCCAAGGUUGAAAGUUCUCUAUGUGGCUUCCCAAAUAUUUAUAGCUUAGCCAUAAAUACAUGCAUGUAGAAGUUGUCCCAUCUUUCAAGUCUUUACCCUGCCUAUUCAACUUGGAGUGACCCUCUUCAGCAGUAAAUAGUGUGAGAAUCCCAUUGUUCCUGCACAUUGUAUGAUUUCCGGUCCGAUGGAAGAAUGUCUCGAGAACUCUGCAGACCAGUCAGUCUUGUACUGUGGUUUCCAAAAUGUGCAUGGCUUAUUUUUCUGUUCUUGUGUAGAAGAGUGUCUGCUCACAAAGGGUACUGCAUAGGCAAUUAUGCUAGCCCAGAAGAGCAAGUCUGUAAUUAUUCUGUAACAACUGCUUGAAUCCUUUAUUUCCUAGAUGGACUCUGUGAGGUUUUGAAAUUGAGAAAACAAUAUUUUGAACCAAUGAAGUUGAAAUUGUCAGCACUUUCUCCCAGGGCUCAUUUUUCAAAAGUUCCUGAAACAAUAAAAGAUAAAUCUUUGUGGAAACAGGAUAAAUUGAUUUUAUGUAUGGAAUCUAGUCAUGUUGGCUUUUCGUUGUUGUUGUUGUUUUUAUAUCUUUUUAAAAGUACUGUGAGCAUAACAAGACAAUCCAGGAACCUUCAGAAGGUCAGCCUCUGAGGGCAGUUUUGCACUUCAAAUGUGCACACAUUUAGUGGGUGCCUCAUAGAUGAGAAACAACCCAGAAGAGAAUCAAAGCAUUAGAACAAAGAACCAGCCAAAAGCAAUAGGCCAAUAGGUUGGAGACUGAAUGUUCCCUUCUCGCAAUUGUUAGGUGAUUCUGACUUCAGUGAGAACUCUCUCGGGAGACGUGUGUGCCUGUGUGAGCAGGAAAUGUGCCUGCAGGUGAUGGACAGAAUGUGGAGCCUCAGUGACGUCAGUUCUCGGCUCCAAGGAGAGGAAAGUGGAAGCAAAUUGUCUAUGAGAUAAUGGUAAGAGACGUUCCAGGGUGCGUGUGCUUUCCAAUUUCACCAUUUAGUUUUUCAUAGACGAGGGGGGUAAAAAGGCUUUGAAAAAUAGCAUUAAGUUUAUUCCUGACAAGACAGAUGUGUUUCAUUGCAUAAUAAGAUAGUAUUUUGAGGCAAUUAGGAAAGAAUACAUGUAUUCCUCAAGAACACAUUCCACCUGUAACAACGAGAUCUUUCCUUACCUUUGACAUGUGCGUCUUAUGCAUGUUCAUAGCACAGCCCUGUCAUAAUUCUUUUUCUAUGGUUUUCCAUGAUCAGGAGAUAGUCCAUCAUCCUGUGACCAAUUGAGAGUGACUGGUGAAUGGUCAAUGUCCUCCAGAUUGUCCUUGGUCUCAACAUGCCAAUAUUACAAUAAUAUUAUCGUUGGUGUGUCCGGAGUACUUUGAGUUGAUAAGAAUUGCUCACACUGUAAAAGGUGAACCAUUACAGCCUUUUAUUCUGCUAAGACACGCUUAGAUUUCUCAGAACCUGAGAAACUUGAGAUGCCCAUUUCAAAUAAGGAUUCAAUUCUCCAUGGGAGAAGGCUUGGUAAAUCCAUUAUUAGGACUAAAUGUAUAAACCAUUUUUUAAAAAGGCAGCUUUUUCUCUGAAUUAUUUGUUGUUUUCUGCAGAUAUUAAUAUUUUUAUGGAAAGAUGGUUUUAUAGUUAAGGAUUAAAAUUAUUAUGCUUAAAGGGGUUGGCUCAGCAUGUGAAAAAAGCACUUGUCACCAAGCCUUGUGACCCGAGCUCAAUCUGAAACCAAACUGUAAGAGGAGAGAAUGCACCCCUGCAAGUAGCCCUCUGCUUUUCACAUGCUCAGCUUGCUUUGUCAUCAAAUGCGCGCACGAUAUACAUAAUAGAUAUGUAUACAAAUUUAAAUAUCAAAUUUAAAUAUUGCAUACGCAAUAAAAUAUAUCUUAUGCUCCCCAGUUACUCUUGGAGUUUUCUCUGUGACACUUUCAUACUCCAUGACAAGAUACUGGAUGAAACACAGGAUAUCUUGAGUGUUAUCUACUGUGCUAGAUUAUAAACAAGUAGCACAUGAUAUUAAAGAAAUCACCCCAUGUUAUUUUUGAUGCUGACAAGUACUGGACCUUGGCAUUUAUGACUUGCACAACAAAUGAGCAGAACGUCCACUUUGGUUCCAUAAAUUAGUUAACGACAAAGAAGAUUGCUUCUUGCUAAUGAAGAGCCACUCAAGAGUAGGUCCUUGACUUUUAUGUCUUGUAAACCUUCCCGUUUUAGAGUGCUAGAUUCUUAUAUUUAAAGAAAACACACAUCUGUGUUUAUAGCAGAUGGUAUGUUGACGUUUCCUAUUAUUAUUCAUUCUUCUGUCCAUUGCUACAGAUGUUACAAGUGUCUUCUACGUGUCUCCCCACUCCCACAGGCUGAAAAUAGAACCCAGUUUUAAACAUAGCAUUAAAGGAAGAAACGGAGGGGAAAUGCAAGGGAAAACCUGGUGUGUUACAAAAUUAACUUUGACCUCUCAUCACUUGGUCACUUUGAAAAGCAAGGAACUUUCAGUACAGUCAAAGCAACUUUCUUGUUUGUUUCAUAGAUACAUGUGAAAGGAAAUUACUUCACUUUUAAAAACUGGGCAUUGUAUAGCACUGUAUUCACAGGGGAUGAUAAAUCUCAUUUGAAAAGCCACAAAUUCUUUUUCAAUUUAUUUAGUCCUACUUAUUGAUCUAUUUUUGAAAUUUUAUGUACUCGACUACUUAUCUGCAUGAAAGUCUGUGUACCACAUGUGUGCAGUGACCAAGGAGGCCAGAAGAGGGUAUAGGAUCCCUAGGACUGGAGGAAUAGACUGUUGUGAGCUGCAAAAUGGUGACUGAGAAAUGCGUCUGGGUCAUCCGGAAGAUCAGCAAGUGAGCUUAACCUCUGAACCAACUCUCCAGCCCUGUAUCACUCUUAUAAUGAACAAAUACUCAGUUUCAAAUUCUGCACAGUUCAAUGUUUAACUUAGUGACAUUUGUCCAAAGUUAUAAAUUCCAUUACCAGAGAAUACACUGGUGAAACCCAGAUAUAAAGCAUCACAAAGACUCAGGAUGAAUUCAUUGGUGCAGUGGCUCAAAUCAGCAGAUACUGAGGCUCCGCUGGUCACAACCCUAGGUUUUACACUGCCCUCUUCCCUCUACAGAUCAGGGCCAGGACAUAGACAGUGACUCAUUGAGGAUCUACCAUGUAGUCCGCACAUUCAGAGUCACUUCUCUUGCUUCCACUGUUUUAUUUAUUCUUUGAUGAUAUGAUACACAUGUAAAAUGCAUUUGAUCAUAUGCAUCCUCCAUCACCUUGUCUAACUUCUCUCUCACUCCCGCUGAAUGCCUUCCCCCAAGAGUCUUUCUCUUACUUUCAUGUCUUUGGGGGCACUGACCCAGUGAGUUUAAUAGGAUUGCUGUCUCGUGAGCAUGGAGCAAGUUCUUCCCACAAUGUCAGAAUUUGGAAGAACUUUGGGAAACAAGAAAACAAACGAAUAAACAAAAACAAGAAGAAGGAAAAAAAAACCACUUCAUCCCAAAAACUGUCUAUCUGAGACUUGAGAACAGGUCUUAGCUCAUUCUCCAUAAAAAAAAUAACAAACAAACAAAAUACCACACAAAACAAAAACCUGUUUCUAAUGAGGACAUUAACUCCCGUUCAUUGCUAGUUGUGAGUGAAAUUUAGGGCAUAAACUGCCUUUGAAAGGUUCCUAAGGAAAAGAGAGGUCAAGCACAGUUUUUGUAAAUGGCACUUUCAUCUAAUUGGCCGGUGGAAAGGUAGGGGGUUACUUUAAAGUGGCUUUAUGUAACUAACAUUUCCCAAGGUUUACUUUAACAAGAAGAAAGGAAAGUGACAUUGCAUGAGAUCGCAGAAUAAAGGACUUGUAUCAUUGAGCCACUGUUCUUGGGAAAUUAAUAGACUCCCAAAUCAGGCAAGAUGAUUAAUACUGGCUUUCAUCUGAUCUAUCAGCCACAGUGACAGGCACAGCAUGCCCCUGACUUUUCCUGGCAGUGCCAUUUAAUAAGAAAGAGAGAGGCUAAGAGAAGAUGAUGGAAGGGGGAAAUACACAAGCUUUCUGUACUGGGCAAAAAAACUUCUUGAUUGACGGGCUGAGCUUCUCAUGUUCAGUUCUUUAUCAGCUCUUGGUAAGUAGACAUUUUCUGGCUAAGACCACAGCCAAAAGGUGUUAGGUUUUUUUUUUUAGAGCACAGAUGACAAUUUUAUAGGAGAAAGUGAUGAACACUUUCAUACUUCUAAAGGAAAUGGCAUUUGCAAAGAUAUAAAUAAUGAUGAAGAGGAGAGAGGAUGGGCUGAUCGUGGGUGGGACUUACAGUAAAAUUACUGUGAAAGUUUGGCUAAAGUAAAUCAGUUUCUGAAGACUGGAAGGCUGGGUAGAAGAUGGAUAAGAGAGCACUGGCUUGUGUUCUUGUUCUAUCCAGUCUCAAGGGCUGAUGAGGAAGACCAGAUCCUAAAAAAAAAUGAACCUUCCUAGGUCCUCUGUCUGUUGGAUGGGGUGAAGGCAGAGUCUUCUGAACAUCGCAUGGCUAGGCAGAGGUGAAGGACGACCUUGUUGAUGAGAAGGAUGGAGCGCACUAAGCUCCCGUGUGGAAUGCUCACACCACUGUGGGAACCCACAGCUGCUGCAGAGUCAACCUGGCACCAUGCCCACCAUUUUCCUUACGACUCCUGCCCUGAGUGUUAGUUACCUUACUUCAGAAAUUGAAUCCACAGUGCCUUUCCUCCCCUCAAUGCUUUCCCUGAUGCCUUUCCCUGGCUCCUGUCCCACUUUAGAGUCCCACUCUUGUCCUUGUCAGCACUUCCCUCUGAGCCUGAUCCAAGGUUCUUGCCUCACUUUGCUCUGAGAGGUUUCUUCAGAGACCAUUGCUCCCUCUCCAUCCUGCAUAGCUACCCUCUAGAGAUUCCUCUGAGCACUUCAACUGGAGAGGUGCUCUUUUUUUUUUUUCUGUGAAAAAAAACUGUCUUCCCCUGAGCCGGAGGUUGAAUGUUCCCCUGUGUUCCCCAAUAUUUGCUCCUUGAAUAUAUUGUAAUUUUGCUAAGCCUCUGCUAUGUGUCGCCAUUCACCAUUCCCUGUAAACGCACAGUCAUUCUUCCAAAGACCUUAACAUGGGAGAACAUCCAGUGUCAAGGUCAUAGCAUGGCGGUGCCGAGCCAAAGGCUGCCUGACUAGUUUGUGCGAGAGCAGCAUCAUAGGAUUGGCAUCUGUGCUGAUUAAUUUUAACUGUCAACUUGACACAACCUAAAAUCACUGGAGAAGAGAGUCUUAGUGAGGAAUUCCUAGAUCAGGGUGACCUGUGUGAUCUGUGAAGGCGUGGGCGGUGAACAGCAUUGAUUGAUUGGUAAUAGAGGUAGGGAGACCCACCCUAGAUGUGGACAGCACCAUUUAAUGAGCUGAACCCAGACAGCUAGCUGAGCAUAAGCAGAAAGGCGGCGUAGAUGUCUUGGUCUCUUUGUACUUAACUGUGGAAGGCGGAUGGCAUGCUGCUUCAGAUUCCUGCUGCUGCAACUCCCUUGCGAUUGUGAAUUGUAACCUGGAAUUCUGAGACAAAUAAGCCCUUCCGUCUCAUCAGAGUCUUUUAUUACAGGAACAGAAGGGAAACUAGGACAGUAGGUCACAUGACAUCCUUCAUUAGGAGCAAAUUCUGUGCCCCAAUGUCUUGUAUUGCUCAAUGUAUUGGUUGGUUCAUGGGGUUGCUGUGACAAAGUGCCUGACAAAAAGUCCAAGGGAAGAAGAGCUUAUUUUGGUUCACGGUGUGAGCGGAGAGCCCAUCACGGUGGAGAGGGAGUGGCACGCAGGGUGGGAAGCAUCUGGUUACAUUGGUACUGAGGUCCAAGAGCAGAAAGAGUCAAAUGCUGAUGCUCAGAUGUGUUUUUUUUCCCUUUAAUUUUCUUCUCUUUUCUUCCUUUCUCAGUCUGGGAUCUAUAUCUAUACGUCAGUAAUAUCGACAUUCAGGGUUAGUCUUCUCUCUUCAGUUAAACCUCCCCAGAAACACCCUCACAGACAUGUCCGAAGGUGUGUCUCCUGGGAGAUUAUAAAUCCCAUUAAGUUGUCAAUGCAGUACAACUAUCACAUUUAAAAGACUAUUUACAGAGUGUCUAUGGUAGGCCAGACGUCAUUCUGUGUUCUAUAUAGCUUGAUCACUGAACAAAGCAGGAAGAGAAAAAUGUUGCCAUUAUCACAGAACCUAUCCUCCGGUAGAAGCAAAACUCCACAAGGUUGCACAGAAGUAAUUGAAAUGGAGAAUGAAGAAGGCAGUGACAGUUUAUGAAAAGAAAAUAAAUCAAGGAGUGGGAACAUAAACUAUGAGAAGAAGGACAGUAUAUCAGGGCACCAGGGAAACGUCCCUGAGCAUUAAGUGGCUUCUGCUUGGUAGGCCUUGCUCUGGGGAUCAUGUUCCAUGCAUAGCUCCCUCCCAGGAAGCAGGAGUUGAAGCACAAGUUAUAACACCUAACCAGAAGACACUCCAUGGCCUCAGAUGUAUUUGAAGAAAACUACAGUUUGAUUGUAUGCCCCUUGUAUCUUCCCUCAUUUUCUCCCCUGGAAGUUCCUUCUCAGUCCAGCAUCAUCUUUCUUGAGAUGAUGCCUUUUAAUUUCCACAAAUUGACUUUCUACAAGACCUACUAUAGUAAAAGAUUAAGUCUCUGGAGAUCUUUGACCCUAAAUUGACCCAAUGUCAGAAAAAAAUAUAUAUAUACGUAUAUAUACAUAUAUAUAUUUCCUAGAGGAACAUCAAUAAAAUUCUUCAUUCUUAAAAAAUGCAAACCGCUCUCUCAUAUGCAUACAUACAUACAUACAUACAUACAUACAUACAUACAAACAUACAUACAUACAUGCUAUCCCUCAAUCCUAGGCAAAGACAAAAAACAGACUCUUUCUAAAGAGGUGAUUUUUAACCUGCCAUGCUAUUCUGCACUUCCCGGAGAAUCUUAUAAAAGAUACGAAAACAGACUCAGGACGAAGCGUGCUAUUUCUUCCAGGAGGCUAUAGGUUUCACACAGUAUUGGAUGCCCCCACACCACUGAGAUUUAGAACACCUGAUGUGGAAUGGAAAGGUCUUCUUGUUCAGAAAGCGAUUAGAUCUGCCAAGAUCUGUCAAACUUCAGAGCUACAGCUUGAGUGUCCCUGCUUACUAUAAACAUACCAUGACUUACGGUCCGCAAAUAGGAACCUAAUCUCUCCCAUCGCAUCGGAACAGCCACAAGGUGAGAGUUAGUGGAAGGAGGUGGUGACAGUUCAGCUCAUACUGCCCUCUUUGGAGUUAGCACCAUCAAACAGCUGCAUGAGGAACCCUCUGGGCACAGCCUCGCUGACCCUUUACUAGCUUCUCUGUGACCCUCUCUGCUAGCAGCCCUGUCCCAGGAGAAGCACUGAGUUAUGCAAACAGAUUGAGCUGUCUUAGAAGGAUUUUUUUUCCCCUUCUCGGUGUCAGUGAGUGUUCUUCUGUCCUAACAUUUCUUCUCUAGACUCACCUGGAAUGGCCCCAGAAAGCUGUCUUUAAGUCCUGAAGCUCUGAUCCAGCAUGCAAGGAAGAAAUUAAGUGGGGGGUGGGGGUGGAGAGAAGAAAUGCUACUGCAGAGAUAUUUUUCAUCUGCAUACCUGCUAAUCUACCAGAGCUGCUGCUCUGUGGAUUUGAGCUUAAACACUGAAGCUAAAGACUCCCCUCGGCGCAUUGCUACCACUGGGAACUGGUCCAGAAGAUGUAACGAUUAAAAUAUGUAUCUAUGUUUUCGCCUUUUGUUUUUGUAUCAAAAAAGAGAGGUGCUAUUACUCUAAUUUUAAUAAGUUUCAGAAUGCUUCUCCCACUCUUUUCCUGUUCCCACACGUUCUCCUCUCUAGCUGCAUUGGCUUGUGAACUUGGUGUUCUCACUGAAGGAGUCGAAACGGCAAUUUGUUUAGGAUGGUUGGAGCCAGUGCUGCUUUGACAAAGCAAUGUAGUCAUUAUCUGGUGCUUGACACGUUUGCAAUCCAUUACACUGGGGUGUGUAGGAGGGACAGUUUUGUUGCUUUGGUUAUGCUAAAUCUAUCUCUAGGAUCCUCCAGGAGUGAACUGAUUUAUCAUCAGGAGAGUGAGGCAGCCCGAAGAGCAGCAUAUGGGUUCCAAAAUGCAAAGUCCUCCUCUCUGCUGACUGGGAACUGCAGCCCAGCCUUCUUGAGAAGCACUUUGUCAGCGGGAAGAGAGAAAGGAGACCCACCCAUGAGAAAGGACACUCGGGUUUCUUUGAUUGUCUGUAGCUCUACACAGAUCUUCUUGUCCUCAGUGAAGACAACCUCAGUCAGAAAAACUCAACACCAUGGCUGAAGAAUCUAGGAAAGGAAGUCGUUAGAUUUUAUUCAUUCAUUUAUCAGUCUGAUGGUUGGCUGUGAGUAUCUGCAUCUGUGUUGGUUAGGUGCUGGUAGAAGCUAUCAGGUUCCUGUCAGCAAGUUCUUCUUGGCAUCAGCAAUAGUGUGGACAUUUGGUAUCUGCAGAUGGGAUGGCUUCCUAUGUGGGGCAGUCCCUGAAAUAACCUUUCCUUCAGUCUCUGUUCUACACUGGACUAACAUACUGUGUCCACAUGGUUGCCCCACACUUCUGCAAGGUGCGGCACUGGUAUGUAUAAGGCAGUGUCUAUGUAAGGGUAGAUCAUGGAUCAAGGUCUCAGUCCUGUCCUGCAGAAGGAGCAUGCGAGGGCAGUUACCUCAAGCAGGGCAACAUGCGAAAACACAUUUACCAUGACUGUUAGCAAAAGUCCUUGACAUCGGGUGGAAAGUGGCCAGUGUGUGGCAAAACACCUUAAGAUACAAUACAUAGACCCAGUUCCCAAGCGCAAAAUGGCAAGAGUGUUACAUCUGGAAGUCUGCUGCAGAGAACUAGGGGUUAGAGAUUUGACAGACAGGGAAAGAAGGCAUAGUAUGUGCCUGGAUAGAUGGAGAAAUUUGGUCUUUUCAAUUAAAUCUUACAGAUUCUCCUGAUCUGAGAAUAAGACCAGGAUAGUUUUGGUUAGAUAUUUCACAGCAGAAUCUGACAAUAAUAUCGAUUUGCUGAUAAAAACAAAAAUAGUCCCUUGUAGCUGUUGGGAGUUAAUGACCCACCCCCCUCUCCUGGUGAGUCUUUCAUGUUAUCUCUGGGUAUGCAUGGCAUCAAAAGGCAAGGCAGACAGACUCAGGUCCCUCUGGACUCUAACCUCAGUCCUUUGUGCCCUAGACAGCCCUGGGGUUUGUUUUAGUUCCGUUUGUUUUAUUUUACUAAGUUACAGAUUAUUUUCUGUUUAGAACACAUUGUGAGUAGUUGUAGGCUUAAGAGGAAAGAAUCACGGGUUGGGAAACACCCUCAGAAGGGUUUCACAGUCAUUUUUUCUUCAAAACCAGUCUGAGAUUCAUUCAACCUCCUGCGUCUUCUCACUAGACAUCACGUGGGCAAAGUCUCCAGCACUGGUGCCUGUGAACGUUGCUAUGAGUUUCCCGGCCUUCCCUAUUUCCUGCUUUCUGGACCCUCCCAUGCUGGACCCCUAAUGAGCAUUCCACUUUCCCAGUGGUACCCCAGAAAACCUCAGAAAGUGGGGAUGGACUCCUGGAUUUCUAAGCUUCCUUCUUAUGCUGGCACUUCUGGAAUUUUGUUGGCAGUCACUUGUACGUACGUCCUUUGCUUGUGGUCCUCAGAGGUCCUGGGCACAGACUCUGGCAGCGCAGCAGGCUGCUCUGUGGGUGACAAGCACGAAGGACCACCUGGGACAUCUGUUUUCCUCUCUUCUCAUUCUUGCCUUGCAGUCUUGCCCUAUAUUCCUCAAGAUUACAUAAGAAGGUCUUUAAUGGGCUGACUCUGAGAGGACUCAGUGAUAGCAGGAGAGACUUCAGUCGGUGCUGUACUUACAGGGGCGUACAACUUAAGAUUCCUGUAUACACUAAAGACCAGCUGAGACAUCUAGCCUGCUUCCUCAGGAUUCUGACAUAUAUUGACAUACAUUCUGACCAGCUGGGACAUCCAGCUUCAUGGACUGAACAAGUACUGAAUUCUUGGACUUCCCACUGGGAGACAGCCACAGUUGGACUAGUCGAAACACAGCCAAUGUACCUCCAUUCUAUCGGUUCUGUUCCUCUGGCGAGUUCUACUACAACCCUCCAUGCAGUUUUUUCAAGUUAGGAAAAGUAAGACUGCUGUUGAUGGUAAGGUACCAGCAUUAAUGAAAGCACUCCAGGCGUGAACUACUAGAUACCAAGUGCCAGCAUUUCCCAGGGCUUUAGAACAAGAGAAAGUUUUAGCACAUCUUGAGUUUAGCCCGAAUUCCCAAGUUUCACUGAUAUAAAGCUAGUUUCUAUGUUAUACGUUAGCUUGAUUCUAUUUUCUUCUGCUCAGCGUGAUGAGCAUGUAGUCUGUCUUGCAAGUGAAACCAUGUACUUAGCUAUUGUCGCUGCUUAAAUGGAAAUGCUUACCUUGCUUGUACUCAGUAAAUAACAUGAAAUGAAGGCUCCAAUUUCCUUUAGGCUCAUAUUCCUUUAACUUGACAGUGAUUCUAUGUUUAUCUUAGCUGUGUUAACUUCCAGCCCAUAGAUAUGAAAAUAGAAGGAUCCUAAGUGAGUUCCCAACAAAGGAAAGAAGCAAAAAUUAAUUCUAACCCAGAUUUCCUCACUAAAUGUAACUGGGAUGUUAUUUGUGAACCCUGCAUGAUUGUCUAUGCCCUCCUGUCAUAUCUUUAAAGGUCUGUUGGGACGUUUUGUUCUCUCUCUCUCUCUCUCUCUCUCUCUCUCUCACACACACACACACACACACACACAAACACACACACAAACACACACACAAACACACACACAUAACACACACAUAACACACACAAACACACACUAAACUACCUGAAUCUUAUUUAGCAUUCUUGCUGUUCAUCUUUCUCUAUGAAGGGCGUGUGGCUGCUGAGUUUUAGCAAGUUCUUCCCUUAUUGUCAGACAAUAUCCUAUAUGGGAGGAAUUGUCAAAUUCCAUUGAUAUUGGUUGUCAUCUACAACAGAGUCAAACUGAGCAGUCAGAACUAAAAACAAACAGAAAAAUUGGUUCCUGACACAGAGUUCAAAGCAAAUCAUGAGUUUGAGGCUCAAAGAAGUAAGAGGUCAAGAAGUAGGGCAUUCUUAAAGGUUAAAAAGAGGACAUUUACCAGGCAAAAACACUAGGUUUUGUUGAUGGAGCUUGGGAGAGGUUUCAUACCUUCCUGUUAGGGAUGGUCUUGGAUCCUCAGUGUUCUACUACUUCACUUUCAGCCACUCUAACCACUCACCUUUCAUAUGAGGAGUGACAAAGAACCAUCACUCUAUACUGUUCAAGGAUAUAAUUUUUUUUGGCUUUAACAGAGAGUUCUUAAGAAGUGACUAAUUAGUCUUUACAAUAUCUGUCAGUUAGGUAAUAGAUGAAAAGAAAGUACAUCCCCCCCCCAACUAGAACGAAGCCCCUUUUGGAACGGAAGUUUUCUGAGCUAUAACUAGAUAGCAUUUAAGACAGAAUGCUGAGGACAACAUAUGGGACAAAAAUCUAAAUGGAUGGAAGUAUGAAAAUAGGACAGGAAGCUAAAAUAGAUGUGCACUCAAUUUCUUUAGUAUAAAUAGCAUUGUCUAUAAUCUCAGGUACAUGAUUCAGCAAUUGCCAAUGGAAAUCAUUUCCAGUAUAUCAAAUGGGCAACGAUGGACAAAGGAUGGGGCACCACACUCAAACUUUAAAAAAAUAAAAUAAAAUUUGGCUCACUGUAAGAUUUGAAAAACUCAAAUUUUAAGUUUUCUUUCUUUCUCUUUCUUUUCUUCUCUUUCUCAGUAUCUCCUCCUCCUCCUUCUCCUCCUCCUCCUCCUCCUUCUCCUCCUCCUCCUC
Non-coding RNA from Rattus norvegicus (Norway rat), 15205 nucleotides. NCBI's taxonomy places the organism in Eukaryota, Metazoa, Chordata, Mammalia, Rodentia, Muridae. The record is from RefSeq and is a predicted model, not a curated record.